CUUGCUUUUUAAUUUAGAUUUUAAUUCUUUUUUAUGUAAGGUUUUUCUUAUUUUUCCAAAUGAAGUCUUUUCAAUGUUUAAUUUUAGUUUUUAUUUAACGAUAAAACUAGAUUUUUAAUUAUAACUGACAAAUUUUGUGCCAGCCGUCGCGGUUAUACAGUUAGUUAAAUUAAAUUUUUUUGAUUUAAUAUUUUUAAUUUUUUUUGUAUUUAUAAUUAAAAUUUUUAGGUGGAAUUUUUAUUUUUAUAUUUAUGUAUUGGUUUUUAUUUAUAUAUGAAAAUUAUAAAGAAACUAGGAUUAGAUACCCUAUUAUUAUAAUCGUAAAUCUUUUUAAUAUUAAUAGUUAUGUUCUUUAAAUUAAAAGAAUUUGGCGGUAAUUUAAUCUUUCUAGAGGAACCUGUCCUAUAAUUGAUAAUCCACGAUUGAUUUUACUUUAAUUAUGUUUAUAUAUCGCUGUCAUUGAAUGUUUUAUAAGAAUUAUUUUCUUAAAAUUUUAUGAAUUUAAUGUUAGGUCAAGAUGUAGCUAUAUUAAAGAAGAGAUGGGUUACAUUAAAUUUAUUUUUGGAUUGGUAUUUUUUAUUUAUCAUUAAAUUGGAUUUAGUUGUAAUUUUUGAAAAAUUUUAAUUUUGAUUUUAGUUCUAAAUUAUGUACACAUCGCCCGUCACUCUCAUUUUAAGUUGAGAUAAGUCGUAACAAAGUAGGCCUACCAGAAGGUGGGCCUGGGUUUUCA
This 730-nucleotide non-coding RNA is filed under the name Rhagovelia antilleana. Lineage: Eukaryota; Metazoa; Arthropoda; Insecta; Hemiptera; Veliidae. The record is from RNAcentral.